Podarcis lilfordi (Lilford's wall lizard) is the source of this 116-nucleotide non-coding RNA. NCBI's taxonomy places the organism in Eukaryota, Metazoa, Chordata, Lepidosauria, Squamata, Lacertidae. The record is from the annotation of a GenBank genome assembly.
CUUCCAGUAGCACCCUAGAGACCAACUAAGUUUGUUAUUGGUAUGAGGUUUUGUGCAUGCACACGAAAGCUCAUACUAAUAACAAACUUGGUUGGUCUCUAAGGUGCUACUGGAAG